GGGGUCUCCCGCAGCACGGGGUCCAUUUAAACGGCUGCUCCGCACCAGGCGAAGCCGGCUGUGAGGGGGAGAAAGGCGGCGGUGGGCACUCGAAGGAUGCACGGGCCUCCCUGUUUCCUUGGUAGAGUCGAUCCGCACUCAGUCUGACCCAGGACGUCACUCUGCCUGUCUGUUUUCUCAAUGAUAACUUGGCAGGAGAAGGGGGAAGCUGCCAGGUUCCCCCCCUCCUCUCUCUCUCUCUGAGAUCAUUACUUGCCAAAACAGCACCGGAAGCACACAAGAGGAAGGUAUCUUCAAGCUUAGGAGAACCUCAAGGUUUGCACACAUACAAAAAAAAUAGAUAAAGCCCUGGAAGAAGCAUGGGGAGUGUUCACGCGACACACCUACACACUGCAGCCGACACACUAACAUGUCGCAACACACAGUUUGAAAAGAUCUGAUCUAAAGUGCUGUCACAUGGAAGAUGGAGCAAGCAAGUAGCAAAUUUUCCUACCAAAAGAAAACUAAAUAUCAACAAGAACUGCACCAAGUGGGCCAACACCUCAAUCCAACAGCAGCAAGUUAUGCAGUAAAAGAAGCUGGGAUCCUGGAAUAUUUCUUGGCCCCCCUGGAGGGCCAAGGGGAAGCAGGGAGAUUGGAUGCUCUAAUAGAGGGCAGGAUUACCAGGGUUCACACAUGCAGCUUCAGGUGUGAUCAGUGGCUGUUUGCAUGCAUAAUUGCCCACACAGGGAGGGAUAUACACACAGAAGCCUGUUAAAGAAGAUAAGCAGCCUAGCUACAUUAGGUGCAAGUAACUACUGUAUGUUAUUUAUAAACUGCUAUAGGAGUAUUGGUAUAGUGUAUGGAACUUGCCUUUCCUACAAUGUUCAGCCACUGCUUCAUAGUAACUAACAAUGACAUCCAGUUGCUGUUGUUUGAAAAGUUAUAAAAUGUAUGUUUUCUGUUUAUUUGUAUUUGUUUACGGUCUCUAGGAUUGCCUUAUGACCAGGUUGGCUGGCUUUUCAUAGAUUUGAGACUGGCCAUCCAAUGCUCAUCUCAGACACUAGCUAAUGCAGCUUUUCAGUUUUCAUAACUGUUUAUAUCUGUAUCUAUAACUACAUAUACAUGGUUACAGGUAGGUAGCCGUGUUGGUCUGGCGUAGUCGAAACAAAAAAUAAAAAAAUUCAUUGCAGUAGCACCUUAGAGACCAACUAAGUUUGCCAUAGGUAUGAGCUUUCGUGUGCAUGCACGCUUCUUCAGAUACACUGAAACAGAAGUCACCAGACCCUUAUGUAUAGUCAGAGAUAUCUACGCAUAUAGAUAUAUAGUUUAUAUCCCUUGCAGAAAUGUGCACACACGUGCAUGUAGCAUUAUGGGCAAUUUAGAGAAUAAUAAAUCAACUCCCCACCUUCCAGUGUUACAGCUGUGAGAAAAUAGGGGUCAUCUCAGAUAUGAUUGACAUGGAAGCAAUAAUAUUCAUAGAGUUAGGAAAAUAUUUUGGAGUCAGAACAAUGCUAUUGCUUUUUACCUCCCUUAGCUGGAAAUGGGGCCGCCCAGAAAAAAAGAGUUGAGACAUCCAGAAUUUUAGAGUAGUUGGGUAGCAAUUCUGGGUGGUUUGUCCACCAAGAAGCAAAACAUACCAAAAAGAAUUUAGGCUUUUUUUCUAGCUCAACUCUUACUUCAUGUGAAUAAAUACGGUUUUUAAAACUUUUAAAACAUUUAGAAAUUACUCUGUAGGGCCAAUACACAAUAAAAACUAGGUAUCUAGGCUAAUGGCUAAAGUGAUACGCCCAGAAUCUGAAUCAAUUUCCCCAAGUCUGGCGCUCUCCAGAUGUUUUAGACUACAACUCCCAUCAGCUUCAGCCAGCAUGAUCAGACAUGAUGGGACUUGUAGUCCAAAACCUCAGUAGGGCACCCAAUUGGGGAAGGGUGAUUUAGGCAAACCUCAAUAAACUGUAGUUCAUAUGGCAACCCUAAAGGUGUGACUAUAAACAAAUACCAAGUUGAAAGGUUCUUUUCAUGAGCAUUGACUAAGUUAUACAUCAGAGGAAGGGGGAGGAAGGAAUGCACAAGCCUGAAACUCAGUACUGUCUUGCAUAUUAUGGUUUUCUGUUACAGUUGAAUGCACCAGCCACAUUCUGAUGUAACAAUAAACAAUGGUUUAUCACUACAAAAAUGAACUUAGCUUCUCAUGGCUCAAGCACUCAUCUCUCCUCCUCCUCCUCCUCUUCCACUCACACCAUGGGGAGAAUGAGUUCAGAAGCUUUUAUUCUGCUUUAAACAUAGUUUACCAUCAUGUCUAAGAUCAGACAAACUGUUUGGUCUUAACUAUGUUUAGCUGAAAGAAGUCAGCAUAUAUCUAUGAAUUAUGAAGCUAUUUUGUUUCAGUGAACUAGAACUAUGGUUAAGAUCAGGCAUAGGAUAACUUGGCCCUCCAGUGGUCAGGGAUGAUGGGAAUUAUAGUCCCAAAACAUCUGGAGGGCCAAGUUUGCCUACGUCUGGUUAAGAUUAAUAAUAGUUUAGGGUUCAGGUGUAAUGCUAAACUAUGUUGCAAGCUCUUCACAGCGAUAUGAGCUUCUUUCAUCCCUAUAAUGAUAAAACAUUGUCUGAAUUGGGCCAGUAUGUGCCCCUCAUCAUUCUCAGGAAGCAUUUUAAACACCAUUCUUAAUUCAUGCAGGAAGCAAUCCCAUGAUUGGCCCUGCUCUUCUCCCUUCUAGUCCAGAACUACUGCUUUUAGCUGACCAUCAAGCUGAUGGGAAGUGUCUAGCUGAAAUGUUGCUGUCUGGAUAAAAAGCAAUGUGGUCAUCCACCUCACUUUCUCUGUGAUGAUGUCAGGUGUUUCCACUGACAGGCAGUUGACAGCAGGAUGACGUAAUUUUGACUGCUUCCUGGAGGAGGCACAACACAGUGGAAGCCAAGUUAUGAGCUUUAUGUAUAUGAUGCUUCCUACAGAUUAAAAUGAUAGAGGGUUUUUUAAUUCAGCAACAAAUACAUUAUGCUAUACACAGCAAAGUGACAUAUAUGACUUAAUUUAUUGUUGUCUGCUUUCUAAGUCUUAUUCCUGCCUUGCUAAAGUUGGUUUAUGGGUUUAGGGAGAUAAAAAUAUUAUUUGAAACCUGAACACUUAUUCAAGAGUGAGCUCAUACUUUGAAUGCCUAGCCAGAAAUGGAAUGGACACACUCGUCAGAAUUAAUUAUCAUGUAUUUGAUUUAACUGGCCCUUCAAUUAGAUUGUAAGAAAAAUUAAUUCAUGAUCCUAAGCAAAUUUACUCAGAUAAUAAGCCUCACCAAGUUUAAUGGUACUUAGUCUGUAGUAAUAUGCUUAGGACUACAGCAAUACAGUGCGAUUGUAUGCGUGAUGACAUUUCACCCCAGUCCCUGGAUAUCCUCAACCAGUUGUUUCAUGCAGGUGUUCCAAAGAAUGGAGGCCAGGACCUGUGUCCACACCCG
Long non-coding RNA from Zootoca vivipara (common lizard), 3428 nucleotides. RefSeq lists it as uncharacterized. The record is from RefSeq and is a predicted model, not a curated record. NCBI's taxonomy places the organism in Eukaryota, Metazoa, Chordata, Lepidosauria, Squamata, Lacertidae.